Molecule: long non-coding RNA, 315 nt
Organism: Myxocyprinus asiaticus (Chinese sucker)
Lineage: Eukaryota; Metazoa; Chordata; Actinopteri; Cypriniformes; Catostomidae
Exons: 3
Source: RefSeq, a predicted model, not a curated record
CAGGGAUCUGUUUUUACGGUGGAAAGGAAAUGCAAAGCGGUAUGAGAAACACGGAAGCUUAUAAGACCGGUUUUUGCUAAGUAGCGCUUUACAAACCAGAAUCGACCAAACACACGUAUGCAGAACUUAAUCGGCACAGUCUUCGCUGAUGACUAUAUAUCUCGUCAGAAUACAUUGGAGUUGGAAAAGACUUCUGGAGAACUAGCUGAGAUUCUCUUGAUUCGUUACUUAUAGGAUCAAAAGUGUCCACACAAGUCGAACCACUGUGCUUCGUGCACGUCCUGUGCUGCUGAGAGAAGGCGCUUCAAGUUUCUU